CUGCGACCCCAGGUCAGGCGGGGCCACCCGCUGAGUUUAAGCAUAUCAAUAAGCGGAGGAAAAGAAACUUACGAGGAUUCCCCUAGUAACGGCGAGCGAACCGGGAU
RNAcentral lists this ribosomal RNA (107 nucleotides) under Eomecon chionantha. Its description in RNAcentral is "partial 28S ribosomal RNA". It matches the Rfam family "Eukaryotic large subunit ribosomal RNA", at positions 1 to 104 of the family's 3401-position model. Lineage: Eukaryota; Viridiplantae; Streptophyta; Magnoliopsida; Ranunculales; Papaveraceae. The record is from RNAcentral.